This 317-nucleotide unclassified non-coding RNA is filed under the name uncultured fungus. Its description in RNAcentral is "sequence contains ITS1". The stretch from base 1 to 101 matches the Rfam family "5.8S ribosomal RNA", at positions 50 to 154 of the family's 154-position model. The record is from RNAcentral. Lineage: Eukaryota; Fungi.
AAAGUGCGAAAAGUGUCAUGACUUGCAGAUUCCCGAGAGCUGACAAAUCUCUGAAUGCAAAUGGCAGCUGAAUAAACGCAGCUAUGUGUUGUAGAGUGUAGAUGCUCCAGCUAAUCAUCAUUCUGUUGCUUCACAUCGAAGCACGAAUGGAUCUGCACUUGCGAUUGCGAGUGUUAAAUGCAAAGGUCCGUGCCUAUGCGACAAGCGUAUGGCACACGCACCGAUGGAUUCCGUAACAAGAGUAUAUCGAGUGUGACAAAUGACCAACUUUUUUCUAUGAGCCACAUCUACAACGCAUGAUUACCCGCUGAACUUAA